RNAcentral lists this microRNA precursor (80 nucleotides) under Gorilla gorilla gorilla (western lowland gorilla). RNAcentral's name for it is "miRNA (ENSGGOG00000039000.1)". Lineage: Eukaryota; Metazoa; Chordata; Mammalia; Primates; Hominidae. The record is from RNAcentral.
GCCAUGGUGUUUAAACUGAACAUGAAGUUAGAAUUCUUAAGUAUCAAAACUAAAUUCAUGUUCAAUCUAAACCCCAUGGC